UGAGUGGCGAACGGGUGAGUAACACGUGAGUAACCUGCCCUCUUCUUUGGAUAACGCCCGGAAACGGGUGCUAAUACUGGAUAUUCACUGAUCUUCGCAUGGGGGUUGGUGGAAAGGUUUUUUCUGGUGGGGGAUGGGCUCGCGGCCUAUCAGCUUGUUGGUGGGGUGAUGGCCUACCAAGGCUUUGACGGGUAGCUGGCCUGAGAGGGUGACCGGUCACAUUGGGACUGAGAUACGGCCCAG
Molecule: ribosomal RNA, 243 nt
Filed under: uncultured bacterium
Lineage: Bacteria
Description: partial 16S ribosomal RNA
Rfam family: Bacterial small subunit ribosomal RNA
Source: RNAcentral